Long non-coding RNA from Perca flavescens (yellow perch), 937 nucleotides. RefSeq lists it as uncharacterized. Lineage: Eukaryota; Metazoa; Chordata; Actinopteri; Perciformes; Percidae. The record is from RefSeq and is a predicted model, not a curated record. The transcript has 3 exons.
CUCCCAGAAAAACUUCCCCGCGCUGACUGCAGUAGACGUGGAGGACUUGAUUGGGCAAGUGCUGAAGUUUGCCCCACACAGAUGGUCAGCUGAGAAGGACUGAGCCUUCAAAAACCAUGGAGCUCUAUUUUUUUUUUUUUGGAAGCAAGAGCUGUUGGCCAUCUUCUACACUGCUGCCAUCCUCCUGCCUCUUGCCCUCUGGCGGGCGCUACAGAUCCCUGCACACAAAAACAAUCAGGCACAAGAACAGCUUCUUUCCCACUGCCAUCACUCUACUGAGCUGCUGAUAAGUGGGCUCAUCCCCACUUUGGCCAUUCACCUACACAUUACAUACUUUAUCAUUCCAAUAUGCAUCUUGCACAAUACAUUUGCACUAUUACUUUGCACUCUACAUUCUUAUCUAUUUUGUAUUUUUUUUAUUCUUCUUUGUGUGACAGGAUGAGGUUUGCCCCUCUCCCUUACAUGUGCACGAGAGUGCAUAGCCUACCUGUGUUGCUGGCGUUGGGUGUCUCGCUGGACCAUGCUGCAGUCUCAUACAUGCUGCUGUGGGGCUAUCGUGGUGCCACAACCGAUUAAAGGGCCAGUGUUCCCCCGGCGCGUUCUUCAACCCACUGGUGCUGUUCUGGAUACUGGAAAAGCUGUUCUGGAUACUGGCAAAAGCUGUUCUGGAUACUGGAAAAGCUGUUCUGGAUACUGGCAAAAGCUGUUCUGGAUACUGGCAAAACUGUUCUGAACUCUGGUAACCCUGGUCUGAAUACUAGUGCAAGAAGUGGUUUGGAUAUAUUCUAUUAACUGUUGUACAUAUUGCAUGUGGGUUUUUCUUGUUAUUUGAUUUUGUUUAUUGUUUUCUCAUUAUGCAUGAUUGUUUAUUUUUUUUUAGUUUUUCUUGAGUGUCAUAGGCCAUUUCGCUUUGCCACAUUUGUAUAUUGCAAAUUAA